UUUGCAACGACAUUGCUCACAUUGCUUCCAGUAUUUACUGUGACCAACACUUAAUGUGUUGGUCUUUUUUU
Non-coding RNA from Proteus mirabilis, 71 nucleotides. Lineage: Bacteria; Pseudomonadati; Pseudomonadota; Gammaproteobacteria; Enterobacterales; Morganellaceae. The record is from Rfam.